RNAcentral lists this ribosomal RNA (508 nucleotides) under uncultured Acidobacteriota bacterium. Its description in RNAcentral is "bacterial SSU rRNA". It matches the Rfam family "Bacterial small subunit ribosomal RNA", at positions 355 to 879 of the family's 1533-position model. Lineage: Bacteria; Pseudomonadati; Acidobacteriota. The record is from RNAcentral.
UCGGGAAUUUUGCGCAAUGGACGAAAGUCUGACGCAGCAACGCCGCGUGAGGGAUGAAGGCCUUCGGGUUGUAAACCUCUUUUAUCAGGGAAGAUGAUGACGGUACCUGAUGAAUAAGUCACGGCUAACUACGUGCCAGCAGCCGCGGUAAUACGUAGGUGACAAGCGUUGUCCGGAUUUACUGGGCGUAAAGAGCGCGCAGGCGGUCGUUCAAGUCGAGUGUGAAAGCCCCCGGCUCAACUGGGGAGGGUCAUUCGAUACUGAUCGACUCGAAGGCAGGAGAGGGUAGUGGAAUUCCCGGUGUAGUGGUGAAAUGCGUAGAUAUCGGGAGGAACACCAGUGGCGAAGGCGACUACCUGGCCUGUUCUUGACGCUGAGGCGCGAAAGCUAGGGGAGCAAACGGGAUUAGAUACCCCGGUAGUCCUAGCCGUAAACGAUGGACACUAGGUGUUGGUGGUAUCAACCCCGCCAGUGCCGAAGCUAACGCAUUAAGUGUCCCGCCUGGGGA